GUGAGGCUGCACAGAAAUGCUUUUAUUUAAAUUGCCACAAUCAGAGUGCUUUUGUUUGUUUUCUUGACUUGAAGUGUUACUUCCAUUUUCACUUUUCUGCUGGAGUGAGAAAAUGAUGGGUGUGAAGACUGUAACAUGUGACAUUUUGGUGAUGUGGUGACAUCUGCCUGGUGAUAAGAAAUUGCAAGUUCUCCCCUGAAUGCAUUACUCUGUGGUGCAGGAAGGCUGAAAAAGCUGAGACUGAAGAGGAAUUGCAGUAAUUGCUCAACCAGAAGGAAUAUUGCAGUGCAGUAUUGGAAUGAUCAUUGUAAAAGGGCAUGAUUUCACCUCUGCUACUUGGACAAAGGAACACAGAGACUGAGUGAAACUUUUUCUAGACCAAUUCACUGAGCUUCAAUUUUUAUAUUGAAUUUUAUAUUGAACUUUUCCAAGCUACUUGUGAGAUUUUCCCAACAGAAUUUAGUCGUGUAUUUCCUAUUAAAUUACAAAUUAAGCCCCCAAAGUCAUUGUAUGACUUUCAAAAUCACAGCCUUGGUGCAGUAACACCAAUAAUGAUUUCAGUCAAUUGGGUACAUCAGUUCCCCAUACAGCAUGUAUUUUACUUACCUGUAAAAGACAAAUCUGGUUUAUUUUCCUCUGUGGACAGAUUUGCCUCACAAGAUAUGUUAUGACACAUUGGAAAAGUCUGAAUAUUGAAAGAAGGAAGGAAGUAUGUAGGUUGUUGGGUUUGGGUCUUGAGCAUGGUUACCUUAUAAGCAAUUCAGAUGCCUAAAUUAAGAAGUAAUUGCUGCUAAGAUGACAAAAUGUUUUCAACACCUGUUUAUAGGAUUUUAUUCCCUGAAUUUUUACAUAUAAUGUUUUCAAAUGGCCCAUUAUGCAUGUGUACAGUAAUCUUUUCCUUAUAUGUAUGGGUCUUAUUUGGUCUUACUGGGAUUACUUACUAGUGUCACGGAACAAAAUCCCCAGUACUCCUGGCACUGCAUGCCUGGCCCCAUCUCUGCAAAGAUCAACUGGACUUUGAUACAUCUCUGGCACAUACAUAGGCAAUACUCAAAACAGGAUAAUCUGUAUUGCAUUUAUCUUGGUGGAUCGGCGCUGAUAAAAUUAAAGCCAAAGUUAAUUUUUAAGAGGAACUUUUAUGAAUCGAAUGUGCUGAAUUGGUGCACAAAAAGAGGAAAGAAGGGUAAGUCAAAAGCCUGUAAAAAAGAGAAUGAGAAGAAAAAAAUCAAAAAUCAGUUCCGUGAUGUUAAAUAAGCACCAAUUAUUAAACACCGUAAUAAUAAAAAGUUUGUUCAUGCAAAAGAUAAAGCUGUACAGGAACACAUAAUAAAAAAAUAAAGCAUUUUUCCUCACGCUGUUUUGCUACACAGUGAAAAAUCACUCUUAUACUAUGAAAUUUCAACACUAGAAGAGACUGAGUAAGAGGGGUCAAAGAAAGGAGACCUUUAAUGAAUUCCAGCAUGUUACAUCUGUGUUUUAUGCAUGGGAGUUAUUCUGCUACAACACCUUCCAUUUUCUUCGACCACUAAGGACUGAACUGAUGAAGCAAAGCUCUCCAUUAAAAAUGCUCUAAUAAAUUAUACUGUAGAUGUGAAAAGAACAAAGACGAGGAGAUGAAAAGCUUUCAUAAAUUGAAGACAUAUGGUUAGGAAUGCCUAGGGACCUUGUGUGCUUUUUUGUUAAGUAUAUUCUUCAAUGGAUUUCCAAUUUUUUGUUUGUUUGUUUUUCAAUUAUAAC
Cygnus olor (mute swan) is the source of this 1737-nucleotide long non-coding RNA. RefSeq lists it as uncharacterized. The transcript has 3 exons. The record is from RefSeq and is a predicted model, not a curated record. NCBI's taxonomy places the organism in Eukaryota, Metazoa, Chordata, Aves, Anseriformes, Anatidae.